CCGGGUCACCACCCCCUGCCUCAGGGACACGGCGCCCAAGUGCCGUUCCCUCCGCGCCCAAUUCUCCCGCAGGCAGCCGUAGGUGCCGCAGCGACGGUCCGAGACAGGCGGUGGAGCGAACACCCGGACAAGGCCCCACAGAGCGUCCAGCGAGCGGGGCGGAUACACCACGGCCGACGUCCGCGCCCGCCGCACGUACGCACGCGCACUGCGCCCAGCAUGAGGGUCGCGGCUCUGAUCAGUGGUGGGAAGGACAGCUGUUACAAUAUGAUGCAGUGCAUUGCUGCGGGGCAUCAGAUUGUUGCUUUAGCAAAUCUAAGACCAGCUGGUAAGGAAGUGGAGUCCGAUGAACUGGAUAGCUACAUGUAUCAGACUGUGGGUCAUCAUGCCAUUGACUUAUAUGCAGAAGCUAUGGCUCUUCCCCUCUAUCGCCGGACCAUCAGAGGAAGAAGCUUGGACACAGAACUAGUAUAUACCAAAUGUGAAGGUGAUGAGGUUGAAGAUCUCUAUGAGCUUUUGAAACUUGUUAAGGGCAUCACUAGAGUGACCUUGCUGGCUGAGUAUGAUGCUCUGAAUCUCCAAGAUUUUCACAUGCAUUUGGAAGUGGGCAGCCAGGCGAUUGUUUACAGCACUCCAAAUGAACUGUGCACUCACAGCAAGUUUGAUAAACACACAUUUCCUCCUUUUAUCAGUGAGAUUGCAGAAUGUGAAGAAAAAGAAGAAGUAGAAGGGGUAUCAGUAGGUGCUAUACUUUCCGACUAUCAGCGUGUUCGAGUAGAAAAUGUGUGUAAAAGGCUCAAUCUCCAGCCUUUAGCUUACCUUUGGCAGAGAAACCAGGAAGAUUUGCUUCGAGAGAUGAUAGCAUCUAACGUUCAAGCAGUGAUCAUCAAAGUUGCAGCUUUUGGUUUAGAUCCAGAUAAGCAUCUUGGGAAAACCUUAGAUCAAAUGGAACCUAUUCUCUUAGAGCUUUCUAAAAAAUAUGGAGUCCAUGUUUGUGGAGAAGGAGGAGAGUAUGAAACAUUCACUUUGGAUUGCCCUCUAUUUAAGAAGAAAAUAAUUGUGGAUUCAUCAGAAGUAGUCAUACAUUCAGCUGAUGCAUUUGCACCUGUGGCUUACCUACGCUUUUUAGAACUGCACUUGGAGGAUAAGUAAUUGAGAGUGGUGACUUUGUGGAUUUGUCUUCUACUUCAAAUUGUUGAUUUUUACUUUAGACACUUGAAGAUUUAGUUGAAUGCAAAGAAAAGCUUAGAAAUGCAGAUUGCAGAAGUCUUGCUGAGAAAAUUGCCCUAGAACUUUGCACAAUGAAGCUUAUGCAUGGUGGAAUACAAACAGAAGUGAGUCUCCUUAACCGUACCCUGAGCAUCCUGGAUUCUACACAGAGGCAGACUCCACCCACUCUCAUGACUCACUGUUACCAAAUCUACAGCAAGUUUGUUGCCACUGCUCUGGAUAGUUGGCAGAAGAACUUACUGAUAUUCAAAAAAGGUACCCACUAUAUAGUUUUUCUAACCUACAAAAUAACAAUUUAUGAAAAAGUUUAAUUCAGGCAAUAUCAAGUCUCUCUUAGCACAUUUCAUAAGAGUUUGAACUAAAUCUUACAUAAUAAGGUUUGAUUGAGCUGUUAGGUUUUGUCUGGUGUCUGCGCACAAUUGAGAAUGAAGAACACUAAAUAGAAAGUUACAGCCAUCACAAACUUUGCCUUAAUUCUCCAAAGCAAUAAGUAAGGGGUUCCUGAAGAGCAUCUUAGGGGCCAGCAUUGUGGCAUAGCAGGUGAAGCCUCCACCUGCGUUGGCAGCAUCCCAUAUGGGUACCAGUUCAUGUCUCGGCUUCUCCACUUCCCACCCAGCUCCCAGCGAAUGAGUCUAGGAAAGCAGCAGAGGAUGGCCCAAGAGCUUGGGCCCCUGCACCCAUAUGAGAGAGCUGAAGAAGAACCUGGCUCCUGUCUUUGGUCUGGCCUAGCUCCAGCCAUUGUGGCCAUUUGAGGAGUGAACCAGCAGAUGGAAGAUUCAUUCUCUCAUUUCUCUCUCUCUCUCUCUUUCUCUGUCUCUUAGCUCCCCCUCCCCCGUAACUCUUUCAAAUAAAUAAAAUAAAUCUUUUUUUUUUUUAAGAGCAGCUUGAAGUUCUUAGCAAAUGCUGAAAAAUACUCUUUUUAGAAAUAUUUCUGCCAGGGCCGGCACUGUGACACAGUGGGUUAAAGCCCCAGCCUACAUCACUGGCAUCCCAUGUAGGUGCCAGUUCAAGUCCCAGCUGCUCCACUUCCUAUCCAGCUGUCUGCUGUGGCCUAGGAGAGCAGUGGAGGAUGGCCCAAGCCCUUGGGCCCCUGCACUGGCAUGGGAGACUAGAGGAGGCUGCUCGCUCCUGGCUUCGGAUCAGCUCAGCUCUGGCCAUUGUGAUCAUUUGGGGAGUGAAGUGGCAGAAUGGAAGACCUCUGUCUCUCUGGCUCUACCUCUCUCUGUAAUUCUGUCUUUCAAAUGAAUAAAAUAAAACAAUUCUUUAAAAAAAUAAAUAUUUCUGCCAAUAUGUCAUACUAUACGUUCUGGGAAUGUGGGGCAGAGGUAUUGAUGUUCCUGAUAUUUGUUCAUUAGGAGUAUUAUCUUCCCUAAGAACAUUUACAAAGGGUCAUAUCUUUCCAUUUUUCUAAAAUAUUUGAUAGAGAAUCUGUUUGUUUCCCCUUUAGAUCUGGCUUGGUGUUAGAACUUUCAGUUAUCCCACAAACAUCAAGAGUAGUUUCUGGGGCCAGCACCAUGGCUCAUUUGGUCAAUCCUCCGCCUGCGGUACUGGCAUCCCAUAUGGGCGCUGGGUUCUAGACCCAGUUGGAGCGUCGGAUUCUGUCCUGGUUGCCCCUCUUCGAGUCCAGCUCUCUGCUGUGGCUCAGGAGUGCAGUGGAGGAUGGCCCAGGAGGAAGCACCUGGCUCUUGGCUUCGGAUCAGUGCGGCACUGGCCGUAGCGGCCAUUUUGGGGGUGAACCAACAGAAGGAAGACCUUUCUCUCUCUCUCACUGUCUGUAACUCUACCUGUCAAAUAAAAAAAUAGUAGUUUCUGAAAUAUAUCAAAUUUAGGUCUAACUGUUAGGUAUAUUGUGUCAUCAGAAAGUAAAAAUUACUAAAAUGAAAUAACCAAGUCAGCUGAUGAUGGGAAUAUAUUUUAGAAAAAAUAAGAGUCUGUUUCUUGUUAUUAAAAGCCGGCCGGCGCCGCGGCUCACUAGGCUAAUCCUCCGCCUAGCGGCGCCGGCACACCCGGUUCUAGUCCCGGUCGGGGCGCCGGAUUCUGUCCCGGUUGCCCCCCUUCCAGGCCAGCCCUCUGCUGUGGCCAGGGAGUGCAGUGGAGGAUGGCCCAGGUGCUUGGGCCCUGCACCCCAUGGGAGGCCAGAAAAAGCACCUGGCUCCUGGCUCCUGCCAUCGGAUCAGCACGGUGCGCCGGCCGCAGUGCGCCGGCCGCGGCGGCCAUUGGAGGGUGAACCAACGGCAAAGGAAGACCUUUCUCUCUGUCUCUCUCUCUCACUGUCCACUCUGCCUGUCAAAAAAAAAAAAAAGCCAUAUUGGCAAUGAAAUCAUUGACUGCAGAUAAUAAUUUUAUCUACCUAUUAACCCAUGAUGUGUAAACAGUAUAUAAAACUAAAAUUUCAAAAGAUAACAAGCCAAGGGGCCAGCCCUGUGGCAUAGCGGGUUAAGCCGCCGCCUUCAGUGUCAGCAUCCCAUAUGGGUGCAGCUCUGGCCCUUGUAGUCAUUUGGGGAGGGAGCCAACAGAGGGAAGACCUCUCUCCCUCUCUGUCUCUCCUUCUCUCUGUAACUCUGCCUGUCAAAUAAAUAAAUAAAUCUUAAAAAAAAAAUAAGAUAACAAGCCAAAAGACCCCACUGACAGUAGCAUUAAAACUGUAAGGAAUUUGGGGCCGGCGCUGUGGUGCAGUGGGUUGAAGCCCUGGCCUGAGGCGCUGGCAUCACAUAUGGGUGCUGGUUCCAGUCCCAGCUGUUCCUCUUUUGAUGCAGCUCUCUGCUAUGGCCUAGGAAGGCAGUAGAGGAUGGCCCAAGUCCUUGGGCUCCUGUACCCACCUGAGAGACCCGGAAGAGGCUCCUGGCUCCUGGCUUCAGAUCAGCGCAGCUCCGGCCGUUGCAACCAUCUGGGGAGUGAAUCAGCGGAUGGAAGACCUCUCUCUCUCUCUCUCUACCUUUCUCUGUAACUCUGUCUUUCAAAUAAAUAAAUAAAUCUUAAAAAAAACUGUAAGGAAUUUAAAGAAAACCAUUCAUCUUUACUGCACGAUGAUGCAUUUUAAAAACUGGAAAGGUAUAUGAAGUUUCUGAUCAGCAAUUAUUUAAAGAUAUAUAUUCUGAAGUAGGCAAAGAAGGAAUAAAGCAGGAAAAAAAAAAGAAAAGCUUAAAACUUUCUGCCAAAAAACAAUAAGAGUAAAGGAGUACAGGGAAGAGAGAAAGAAGAAGAAAGUCUUAAAUGAUCAUAUUUUUUUAAAAAAAAAGUUUUGUUUAUUUGAAAGUCAGAGUUACACAGAGAAAGGAGGGGCAGAGAGAGAGAGAGAGGUCUUCCAUCUGCUGGUUCACUCCCUAAUUGGCCACAAUGGCCAGAGCUGCACAAAUCUUUAGCCAGAAGCCAGAAGCUUCCUCUGUGUCUCCCACGUGGGUGCAUAGGCCCAAGGACUUGGGCCAUCUUCUACUGCUUUCCCAGGCCAUAGCAGAGAGCUAGAUUGGAAGUGGAGCAGCCAAGACACGAACUGGUGCCCAAAUGGGAUGCCAGCAGGUGGCGGCCUUACUGGCUACACCACAGCGCCUGCUCCUAAACUAUCAUAUUUUAAAGUAUGAAGAUACAGCUAAAGUCAUGUGUCAUUGCCAUGGUUACAGAUAAGAAUCAGUGGCUCAGACUUGAAACCUCUCUAAAUAUUAUAUGCCUUCAUUUUGUAGAGUUGUCAGUCAUUUUGUUUGCUUGCUUUCUUGUUUUGAUCAAACCAGAACACAAAGUCAUGCUGCCUGUUACUGAUUUGGCAAACAGUACUUGAGAUGCUUGCUUUGCUUGAAUGAGCUUUCUCUGUGCUGCACCUGGUGACUAGGUGGAGUUUGCAAACAGUCGGCAUUAACUGUCUCUGCCUCUCACCUUUGAUGAUAAUAAACUUAAGACUCUUCUGAAUCUCUUUGGGUCUAAGGCUUGCAUACCUGAGAGCCUUUUCUCCUCCUGUGACUCAUGGAGUCCAUAGAAUUCAGUAGAAAAUUACUGUUUUCUGUUGAUAGGAAAAUAUUUCCUAGAGUUGCUCUUUAUUUUAAUUGAUUUUGGCCAUGGCUGACACAUUUGAAUUCAAGCUAUUUCACAGUUCUCCCCUCCUGCCCCCUGCCUCAGUAGCUUCAUUUGGUAUUCAAUGCAAGCUAAAAAACAACAUGAUAUAAAGUUUUAAAUCAUUUAAAAUAAACUUGAGUUUGAAUUGAGGGUAAACACAAUUCUUCAAAAUGUAUCUGUUCUCACUUAUGCACAGAUGUGGGUCCUGAUUUAGAAUGAGUUUCACCAAGGAAAUAGUUUGUAGAAUAGUUCUGUGAAGUUAGCAGGUGAAAUAAAUGCUAGUCAUCUUAACAGAGCUUGAAGUAAUUUCUAGGCAGGCCACCCAUAUUCACCUUAUAACUACAUAUAUUAUAAAUUACCAUUUUGCUUUAAAAGCAACUUUCUAUCGGAAGUUAAAUGAUCAUUUUAUAAUUUCCAAUAAAGGGAAAUAAAAACUAUUUUAAAUCUAAUAACCAUGCCUAAGAGAACACUUGAGCAUAAUCUUAUUGGCAUCAUUAGUAAUAAGAAUAUAUCACAAUAACCUUUUAUAAUCUUCACAGACAUUUUUUGGUUCCUCAGUCAUCUUUGAGGAUUCUUGGGUUGCCUUUGAGAGUAUAGGACUGACACAAUAUUAUUCAACAUGCUAAUACAUUUUAGGAUCACAAUUUUGGUUGUUACAACUUUACUAAAUUGGCUUGAUGGUUUCAAAUUAAGUAUCAUCUUGUGUUUUUCCUUUCCUCAUAUCUUUUAAAUGAUAGUGUCAUAUAAUAUGACGGCUCUAUGAGUCGUUUUGCUACCUCAUUCAUCAGAGUAAUCAAUGAGGAAAAAAGCCAUAUGGGUUGAGGUCCAUUUGUAUUGGGUAGGACAGAUGGCAUUAUUGGUAAAUGGAAAUAUUCCAAAUAUUUAUUGUAUAAUGAUAUCUCUGGGAUUCUGACUUAAGAAUUUUAAUAAUUUAAUUCCUGCAAUAACUGGAAAAUUGAGUAAUUUAUUCAGUCACCAUGUAUUCAUUUAAUGAUAUCAAUGUGUGAAUUGCUGCAUUAAUUACCUUUCAGUUAAUAGUUUAUUUUAAAUGAUAGGCAUUUCUCUUUCAAAGGCAUGCUUACUUAUCUGAUUUCUGACCAAGCUAUCACUUUGGUCUUGAAGGUUUUAAAGCUAAUAUCAAUGUUUGAGGCAGACAGUAAAUUAAAGAUAGGAUCCCAGAAAUGAAAGAUGCAAAAAUUACAUAACAGUUUUCUGCUGGUACUACCUCAGUCCCAUGGUCGGCAGAGGGGAAAGGUGGUGUUACAGACUCUCCUUUACAUUUGUGGCUUGUGUUCCUUGCUGCUCUCAAUAGAUUUUCUUAAAUUACAUGCUAAUAUAACUGUAGACAUAAUGAUGUAAUUCUGGUCUUAAUUGUAUUUUAUUUUCUCAAUUUGGAAUUGAGUCAUUUGAGCAAGGGUUAGUUCACUUUUUAAUUUAAAUAUUUUGUAUUGUUUAAAUGCUUACUGAAACAUCUAGUUAUGCCUUACUUUUGCAAUUGCAGAGUUAAAAAUAAUAGUUUUAAUUGAAAACGUCCAUUGUUGUUUUAUUUUGAAAAAUACUACUAGGCCUGUUAUUGAAGGCCUAGUAUGUGUUUAGACAGUGCUAGGAGCUCUGGCAGUACCUUCAGGUUUGCUACUUUAUUUAGAAAGCAAUAUAAAUUCUUUAACAGCACUGAGCUGUUUUCCAAUUAAAAAUAUAUUUUCCAAAUUAAAAAUCAGAAAUAUUAUCCAACAGUAUUCUUUUAAUUGUGAUUUAUUACUGUGAAAAAAUUAGAAAGACAUAAAAUCUAAAGAUUUUAUACUUAGUUAUAAUUUUUAAAUUGUUGAACCAUUUGAUUUUAUUUAUAUCUUUAAAUAAUCUUUAGAUAUAAAUUUGUCACUACCGUCAUGAAUUAUGCUCACCACUGAUUCCCAGUGUUUCGCACACUGCAUUGUACAAAGCAAGAGCACAUUUGUUGAUUGUGGUGCUGAUUAACAAGGUAGGUUGGUGCAUAUCCACAAAAAUAAUUGGGAAUAUAAGAAUAUAGUUAUGUGCUUUCAAAAUGGUAAUGUGAUCACUAAUCAAAUAAAAACUAUACUAAAAUUUCUCAAGAUUAAUCUUUUUAAAAGGUUGAUAUAAAAAUAGAAUAUGAUGGCAUGGACAGUGUGGUACAGUGGGUUAGGUUACCACUACGGAUACCCACAUCCUAUCUCAGAGUACCUUGAAUGGAGUUCUGCCUCUGCUUCUGAUCUAGCUUCCUACUAACACUCACUGUGGGAGGCAGCGGAUGAUGGCUCAAGUAUUUGGGUUCCUGCCACGUACAUGGGAAACGUAGAUGGACUCCUGGCCCAUUCCCAGCUUUUGAAAGCAUUUGGGGAGUGAAACAGAGUAGAAAACAUUCUCUCUCUCUCUCCCUCUCUCUCUCUCUGUUUCUCUCCUCUGUUUUUGUCACUCUGCCUGUCUUUCAAAUAAAUAAAUAAAACUUAAAAAUUAAGAUAUGUAAUUAUAUUGAUAUAAUAUCUUGACUAAGCUUUGUUUUGUCAGAAAUAUAGUGUCCAGUGGUCAAGAGGACAACAUAAGUUGGACCUUGCCAGAGAUAUCCCAUUCCAAAUAGACUCUCUUUUCUAUGAUUUAGAGCAAAAUAAAAGGGGUUUCAUUCCUACUGCCCCAGAAAAUAUGGACAGACUAAAUAUACCCUGAUGAUUCCAGAUAUCUUUAACACUCUAGAAAGAUUUCAAAAGCAUUGACUAAAAUUGCAUGAAUAAAAUUCUGUUAAAAAUCUCUGUAACAACAAUGAAACAAAGACUAACAUCCAUUGAAGUAGUAUAAAAUGUAAAAUAUUCUACAUAUGUUUACUGUUUCUUUUAUAAUAUCAGUCUAAGUAAUAUAAAAAGCACAUGUAUUUGGUCACUAAAGCCUUUUACUUCCUCUAUUUAUGGAAUCACAUAUGAGAAUGCUAUCCAAUAAGAUUUGUUUAAAAAAAAAAAAAAACUGGAUCUACAUUUCCAGCCCUUAACCUUCCCUGAAUUUUUUUUUCAGUAUUUCUCAUUAUCUGUGUUCCUCUCUCCUUCCUCAGUACUUAGUUGUACCGUGAGAGUUAACAAGACAAAGACAGACAGAUAUUAAUAGCACUUUUAACUUUGCAUCUCCAAAAGGAAACUGACCUCUCGGGCAACAUUGCAGGAUGCUUAUAUUGUUAUUUUAGGAAGACUUUAUUUCUCUUUUCUUAUACUAAAUUUUGUUUCUCUGCAGUAGUUUCAUCACAUCACUCCAAUGAUGCAAAGAAGAGAAGUCUCUGAAACUGAGCAGUCUGAUUAUGUUUACAAUGAAUGAAUGACUCUUUUCACUGUAUCAUGCUACAGGUUUUUCUCAUCAAAGUUAUUUUCCAGAGUUUUGGGUAUAACCCACCUCUUCACUACAUGAAAGGAUCACACAUUCCUAAAAGAAAGACAUGAAGACCAAUUUUUAGCAUUUAAUUUGUGUCCUAAGAAUUUUAUAUGGCCUAAUUUUUAAAAAACAAACUCAGAGUAUUAAAAUAUAUUUUAGACAAGCAAGUCCUGUGUGGGAGCUAAUUUUCUUUAUAAUAUUUUAAAAACACCUCAAUAUUUAUCCAACUAAUAUUCUUUAAAGAUGUUGUGUUCUCUGAGGGGAAAUAAUUUAAGGAUACUCAAUAAUAGAUUUCUUAAUUUUGUGCUGAGUUGUUUAGACUUUUGUUUAUUCAAAUUUAUCCCCCAAAAUUUCCAACCUUAAUUUCUGAAGAUGAUAGUAAUUGAUCAUGCCUGUGAAUAAAUAAAUAAACUUGGCACACUAAUGCAGUGUAUAAGCUGAAGUUCUUUAACAAAAGCAGCCUGUCAACUAUGAUGCAUUUAAGUACAGAGAAGACUGAUGCUUGCCAAAUGUAAAAUCAGACAGAAGAAAAAUAUGUUUUCAACCUUAGGGGAUUUCCAACAAUGAAAGAGGAAAUAAAUAAAAAUGUAGAUACACAAUAUUGCUAUACCUUGUCAAGGUAAUGUUAAUUGAAAUCAGGCUUUAAAAAAAUAAUAAUGUAAGAUUUCCACCAAAAGACUACUCAAGAGUCUGACAAUGUGUGAGUAGAAUUUUAAAGGUACAUUGACAAAAAUUGUGCCGUUACAUUUUCAAAAAGCUAUGCCCCAGAUUUCAUUGUCAAUGAUCUCCUACUGGUUAAUUAAUAUAAUCAGUUAUGUUACAAAGAGAAAGCUAAGAGUUUUGAAAAAUAUCCACAUGAGCCAUGUGGAACUCCAUCAUAAAUUCAAUGGUUAAAAUAUGCAGGUUUGUGUUUAUUUCUUCUGUAUUAUCAGGUUUAUGACAUUUAUUUGGUAGCUAGAUAUUGUUUUGAAUGUGCAAUGAUUUGAGUUAUUAAAAUACAGUUCACUUAUGAUCCAUGCUAAGAUCAUGCGGUGCAUUCAAAUGACUAGGUAGCAUUGAGUCUUUCAUCUCAGAGUGGUAUGUUUCAUUUCCCUAGGGUUGGGAUUAAAUUGAGAUUUUGUAUUCAUUUGAAGUAAUUGUACUGAGAAUAUUUAACAUGGGUCAAAUGGAGAAUAGUGGCACCCUGGAAGUGCUUAGAAAUAAUUUGCUUUUUAUACAUUGUUCCACAGUGGGAUUGAAAAAGAUUACCACGCCUUGUUUAAAGACGUUAUAUUGUUCUAUUUGUGAAUCUAAUGAAAUCUUUUGCAGAAAAGAACACCAAUUGCACAAAUGAAUUUGAGAAAAUAAGAAGGCAUCUGAAUCAAAUAAUUGUACAUUUGAAAUACGUUAGCUACUUUAACAGCCUUUACCUAAAUAAAAUCAGAGAUAUGUAUAUAUAUAUAUAUAUUUUUUAAUUUUUAACAUUUUCUUUUUAUUCCUAUAAUGUAAAGUAGGUGAAGUUGUAUUUAUUUUCCCAUAGACAUGGGAGAGAAUUGCCCAGCAAAACUAUGUACCCACAAUACAUUUUUCCAGACUCCUUUCUCCCCUGAAGCAGUCUUUUUAUUUGAGCACUGUUAAGUGAUUUUCCAACUUGCUCACUAAAAGUGCUUGGGUAUAUUAGUACCAGUCUCCCUCACAGGAUGCUGACUUUGUUAAAGCCAAGAGGAAAUAAAUUAUAUCUUGUGCUGGUUGUUUGUAUCUCCUCUCGUGUUUAAAAGAAUAAUAAUAAUUGCUAAACUGGAUCAACCUUAGUAUGAAAACUGAUCUGUGACAGAUGAUCAGCCACUGAAAAACAAUUUAAUACUGUAUUAGAUUUAGUGGUAUCACCUAAUCUUAGAGAAAGAGUCUAAACAAAAGAAUGCAAAUAAUGAAAAAAUUGAGUUUUAAUUUAUAUUCAGAAACUGUUUUAAAGCUAAAACAUACCCAGUGAUGGCUCAGGGCUGGAUUACUCAGUUUCAGAAGAAUAUGAUAAGUUGAGUCAAUGGAAGAGGUAAAAAGAAUAUAACAUUUUCUAAUACAUUGACAGGCUUCUUCUCCGCAUGGCAAUGUACUUAUAUUGAGCACAUUCUAAAAUGGAAGCUUGCUUCGAAUGUGCCUGUAAGUCCGAGAAUUACUUCAGGAAGAAAGAAGUGUUGCUUACACUCAGAAUUAGUAAGGGGUUGGGGGUGGGAGAACAUCUUCCAUUUGAUAAGCUCUCUGUGGUAACUUGGGAGUUCUGCUGUUAUAACCACCCUCCUUGGUCUUCCCCCAAACAUUAUUGUAUUAAUACAGUUAUUAUUCAUUGUUUAUUAUUGUUGAAGGUCUUUCAACUUUAACUAGAAAACAGCCACCAUAUUAUAACUCUGAGAGGGUCCACAUCACUAUCUGGGUAGAGGCAAUGGUGCCUAGCAAUAACACUAUAAUUUAGGAUUGCUUGGAAAAUUCUAAAUAAUUAAAUAAGAUAAUGACCUGCUAAAAAUGUAUUACCAAAAAGGAAAACAAAUUCUCAUUGUCAUGAAAUGUAUAAUUAUUUACAAUACAAUUAGAUCAAGUGUACUUAAAAUUACCUGGGACUUACCCUAUUUGAAAAAAUUAUGGGGGCCAGCACUGUGGUACAGCUGGUAAAGCCACGGCCUGCAGUGCCAGCAUCCCAUUUGACCACCAGUUUGAGUCCUGGCUGCUCAACUUCCAAUCCAGGUCUCUGCUAUGGCCUGGGAAAGCUGUAGAAGAUGGCCCAAGUCCUUGGGAGACCUGGAAGAAGUGGCUCCUGACUUCACAUCAGUGCAGCUCCGGCCAUUGCGGCCAUCUAGGGAGUGAGAAGCAGAUGGAAGACUUCUCUCUCUCCCUCUCUGCCUCUGCCUCUCUGUAACUCUGCCUUCCAAAUAAAUGGAUAAGUCUUAAAAAACAAAAAAAGAUUAUGAUCAGUUGAGAUAAUGUGAAUGGGCUGGCAUAAUAGAUUUUUUCUAAUAUAGUCUCAGUUACUUUAAGUAAAUAUGUAUUUAUAUUAAACCCACCCUGACAUAAAAAAACUCAAAUGGAUCAACUGAAAAACUACUUGAACUUAAAAGUGAAUUAAUUAACAUUUCAGGACACAAAAUAUACAUUUUAAAAAUUUCCAUUCAUCAAUAAUAUGAUGCUUUGGGGAUGGGGAUUAGAAAGCAAAUUCGUGGUAAUAAUCUCAAUUAUAAAAUACCUGGCAAUAGUUUGAAUAAGAAUUUCACAAUACCCAUAUCUGGAAGAUAUUAUGAAACUUUACCAAGUAACAUACAAGAAGAUAAAUGUUAUGUAUUACUUUUUUUAAUGGGAAUGCUAUAAAAAUAGCAAUAAAUGCAUUUGUAUAAAUUUAACAUGUCAGAAAUUUAAUGAGAGUACUUUAGGAACUGAGGAAAUUAUUCCAAAAUGGUAGGAUUUAGAAUAGUAAAUGAUAAUUUUUAAUAUUAAAAGGUAAAGCAUUAUCUAUUGAAUGUGAAAAUAUAUUCCAACACUAUAGUAUUUAAAAUGAUGUGGUACUACUGCAACUAGAAUCUAUGUGUAUGUAAAGUAUAAUGGAACACAUAAACAUAAAAUUAAUGCAAGCAUUUUUAUGACUCAAGCAUGACAAAACGAACUCAAUAAUUUAUGAUAGAGUAAAUUAUUCAAUGAAAGAUAGUAUGAGAUUUGUAGAGAAAAAGUGAUACAAUGAAAGUCAAAUAUUUAAUUUUUGAAGUUUUUAAUUAUAUAGGAAUGCUUAUAAAAUAAGACUAGUCAAGUAAAAUAUGAAUAGGUGAAUAUAUAUAGAUAUAUAUACAUAGAAAAAUUAGCUGAUGGGAACUAUAGCAAAUCAUAAGAAUCAUAGAAAGGGGAAAUUGUUGGGAUGAUUGCAGUUGAUUUUAGUUUUCUUCAUUUAUUGCCAACUUUUGUCUUCAAUUAUAAUAAAUUCUAUAACCAGAAAAUAGGUUUUUGUCCUUAUACCUCGAAAUAACCACCACAUUAUCCAAGUACACAAAAAAACUAUGUUUUUUGUAGCAUAAAACAUUUGCAGACUUACUUCAAGAUAGUUCUGUUGAUGUUUUUAAGCUCUGAAAUGGGAAGGCCUUAAUUUUCUUCUCUUACAAAGGUGCAUCUUUGGACCUUCAGGAAAAACUAUGUACAUUUUAUAUUUUUCAUCAGAGGAAAUAAUUUUAAAAGAAAAGAAUGAUCAGAUAGCUUUCUGAGAGGAAGAGUACUGUCUUGCACUUGACUUAAAGGGUAGAAUAAAUGAAUAAUUUUGUAUGCAAGGUUCUUGGUUUGCUUACAACUUUCUGCUAAAACUAUAGAGACCUUUAAGCAAAGGAUUCCACCAAUUACAUUUGUUGUAUGUGUGUGUAUAUAUUUUUCAGAAAGCAUAUGUUAGUAGGGCUAUUAAGCAAUUAGCUUCAUGCAUAUAGAUAGUUCAUUUUGCACCAAACCAUAUGAUGUGACUAGAAUUUAUAGAAAACCAUCUUUCCUGCCAGAAAUUGAGGCGAGUUAAUUCUCUAGUUUGGAAAAGUGUGGUCUUCUGGCUGCAAGCUGUACUCUUAAAAAUUAAGAGUCUGGUAUUCUACAUUUGAUAGCUUAGAAAAGUGCAUAAAAUACAAAAGUUUUAUUUUUAUUAAAUGAAGAAACCAGAAAAAGAAAACUGAAGUGGCACCUUGUUCAUAUUGCAUGCUCACUAAAUGUUUGAUAAGUUGCAAUAAAAUGAUGCCAGCAGGAACUGCGAUUCCUCUUUUUUAUAUAAAUGUAUGCCAUGAGGUCUUAUGUCCUUGUCAGAUUUGGCUCCGAGCUUUCUAGCAGUCUAUGCAAAAAGGGAAAUGCAAUCAGUGACAGAAUCUGUAAUGUCCAUGAGAUAAAAACAAACUGGCUGCUCAGUAGAAGCCAAGCUAUUUCCAGGGCUAUAAUAGCUAUUUCUAGAGUGAAUGAAUGCUAUUGAAAUCUGAGAAAAAUUGAGAGGUUAUUUGAGCCUUCAUCAUCUUUAUAGCAAACACAACAGAGAGUAUCAUUUGGCUAUUUCUCCUAAUGCCCAAAAGUAGUUCAGGAAAACUUCUUUUAUGGGGGUGAAAUACCACAACUGCCGGAUAUGUGGCUUAAUUCAAAAAAUAUUUUGAAUUUCCUAGAAAUCCCAGAAAUCAAAUGAUACAGAAAAUCUAUCCACUAUGUACACUUCAGGUAUAUGUACAUUUUUCCAUAUGUAAAAUAAAAUUCAUUGCCCCCCCUUUGAAGUUCUAGCUGUACUUAAGAAAAGUAGACUAUUACAAUCUUGUCUCAUUUUUAUAGCAUUCAUAUCCCUGGGCACAGUCAUUAAUCAGUGUGUUUUUUUUGUUUGUUUUGUUUUUUUUGAGGAAAGAGGAUUAUACUAAAAGUCCAUGAAUAUCUAUUACAAAAUGCAAAAUUCUACAUGAUUGGCCUUUUGUAAAUAAUAAGCAAAACUAAUAAAUCAAAAUGAUCAGAAGCAUUUUAACAGACACAUUCAUAUGAAUGGAAAUGUUGACAUUCUUUCUGAAAGCGCUUUUUCCCUUUACUGCUGCCAUUUUUAUUGUGGAUUUCCCUGUUCAACACUUAGUUCCAAUUUUUUUAAUGAUCCAUUUCAACAAUAGACAGCAAUAUUCUCCCACUUAUGUGAGUUUUUGGUUGCAUUUUAUUACAUGAAAGAUUGCAGAGCCCUACUAUGAAUUACUGUAUUAGCAUUCAUUGUAUUUUAAAGGACUGUGCUCACAAAAAUUAUUAUGUGUGGGUCCAGGAAUUCUUUACUUGUGACUUUGAAAAGUCUAAUGUAACUUAACCUUCAGUUGUGGCUAGGCCAUGAGUACAUUUUGAAAAAAAUUAAAAAUACAAGAGCAAUAGAAAAUUUAAGAAUCCCAAAGAUAUGUUUGAUUUAAGGAGGUACCCAGAUGAAGGUGAUACUAUUUUUAAGAAAUAACCUAUUUACCUGAAUGUAGUUUCUCAGAACUUAGUUUAUAACUUAGUUGCCUGGAGAUCAAAAUACAGUUUUCUUAGGAAAAAAUGUUAUAAAUUCAAGUCCAUUUAAUGGUUAUUUAAGCAUCAAUGCUCUCUCUCAUCUUUAAGGAACUUGCUUGCUGGUGGUGUGGAAAAAAAAGACAAGGACACAAAUAACUUGGCAAACCUCUUUUUAACACAUUGUCAAGUGUCUUAUAAAGCAAGCUCAAAUGUGGCAGAAAGCCACCAUCGAAUUUCAGAGUCAAAGAAUUCAUAAAUUGUUAUAAGUUUGUUCUAUAGAUCAACUACUCAGGAUUUGGGAGUUUUGUGCUAGUACCUUCCUUUUACCCCCUUGUCAUUUCUUCUUAACCCCACAUGCAUCCCAUGCUAGCCACCACCUCCCCAUGAAACAGAGGGGGCAGUUUCCAGCUGAUGGAUAAUCAGAACGUCAUUGACUUAAGAAAUUUAGUUUUAUUGUUAAGCUAAAAUCUCUUUCACAGAUUCCCCUAUCACUUAAAUAAGUCAUUUAAUAUUGAUCCCCAGAAUGACAGAUUGCUAAAGAUUUAGGAAAUUUUUUAUCACUUCAUUAGAAGUGACAGAGUUUCUGACACCAAUAUAUUUUCACUUGUGAUAAUUUUAUUUUAUGAUCUAUUUAGCAUAGAACAAUAUUCAUAUUAAUAUUUUGAGAACUGUUUUUAAUAUUUUCAACUAAAUUGCAUGCAUUUGGAUACCAGUGGAUCCCACUAAAAGCAUAACUGAGUAUCUUAUUUUACUAAAUGCAGAAUAGCUCAUUUUAUCAAGGCUUGUAUUUCUCUCCUAUUCUCACAAGCAGAGGUGAUAUGUAAACUCUUCAAUCUCUACUACAAAACUCUACCAGUCAGCUCACACUUACCGGUUCUCCAUCUCUUCUUACCUCCCUCGGAGCCCAAAUCCAUGCAAAGAGCUACAGAAGGGACAGAGGCCUCUGAGCUUGGCGCAUCCAUGUGGGAGCCACUGUGCAGUACCCAGGAAGCAGGACUUAGAAGGGCUGACUGGGUCCUGAAACACCAGUCAUAGGAAGGUGUGUGAAACUUGAACUUUAACACUUAGUUACUAUUCCAAGAGAGUCCUGGCCAGGUCACUUUUACCAACCUGUAGCAAUUUAAAAAUAUUAUAAUAAUCUCUGGAGCCCUACUUAGUACUUACCUAAGUAGGUGGGUAUCAGAACUGCUUACAAUCUGAUGUAAAACUGGACCUACAAAAACUUAAGGCAGCAUUUUUAGUCGUUAUCUAAAUGUUGCCUUGUCUGCCAUGCUUGAAUCUUUCUUCUGCUUGAAUGUGGGUUCAAUGCCUACAAGGCUUUUUUUUUUAAUCUGUUUACCCAAACUAUUCACUCUUUCCUCCUAAGACCUCAGUUUCCACUUUUGUAAAAUGGUUGCUGUAGAGUUUGAGAGUGCAAGUGAAACCCUUUGUACAAUGUCUGGAAUACAGCAGGUGCUAACCAUUAUCCAAUUGUCACUUUAUAAUCGCAUAAACUAGAUGCAGUUACAUAGAUGAUUGGUAUAUUUGACUACAGAAACACAUGUUGUGUGCUGUGUUAGAACAAAAUGAUAACCCCCAAAAGUGGGUUAUUACUGGGUAUGAGAUGUUUUCAUACACUGUAGGGCUAUGGUGUACUCUGAAGCCUUGAAGAAGCCUAGGAUUUCAGGGCCUGAUGUCAGCUAGUGGCUUCAGGGCCACUAUUAUUCAGGAAGAGGUAGUUUCUCUCUCUCUCUCUCUCUCUCUCUCUCUCUCCCUCUGUCUCUCUCUCUUUCUCUCUUUUGAGAGACAGAGUCUCUGUCAAGCUUCAGGUCUCCCUGUACUCAAAUAUUAUCUUUUGACUUUUGCUCAAAACCAGGCAAUAGAGCAUAUCUUAAAAGCACCAGUGGCAGGAAACUGGAGGCUCUUUUGUUUGUGGCAAACAUGAAUAAGAAGACUGUC
Molecule: non-coding RNA, 16548 nt
Organism: Oryctolagus cuniculus (rabbit)
Lineage: Eukaryota; Metazoa; Chordata; Mammalia; Lagomorpha; Leporidae
Source: RefSeq, a predicted model, not a curated record